ACACAGCAGCCAGAAGUCCUCUUGUCAUCUCUCACCUUUUAAAACUACCCAUGCCAUUCAGAUGCCCCUUAGCCUUUACUGCCUUGUUGUGUACUUUUUUUGUGGACCUAUCUUAUCCAUGGAAGAGGACAAAAUGCUGCAGAGUGGCUACCAUAGCUCUACGCUGCAGGAUUUUCAGCAGAACUGUGAGGAAUACCACAUCAAUUCCUUUCCAUGAAGUCCAAAGGAUCUGAUCUCAGGUGUGACCAGCAUCUUCAAGGCCCAUGGCCACAUCUAAGUUUCUGGAUGCAGGAAGAAGCAGGAAAUAAGAAAAUGGACAUAUACCAGUUUUCUCCUAGAGAAGGCCUCCAGAAAUUGCCAAAGAACACUUUCAUCUGCAUCCUCUUGGCCAGAGUUUAUCUGCAUGGUUACACAGAGCUGCAAGUUAGGCUGGGAAAUGAAGCCUUUUCUUUGGGUUGCUAUGUCCAGCUAAAAAUUUUAUUACAAUUAAAGAAGUGGGAAAAAAAAAAAAAAGAACCCUGAUGGAACGCCGGCAAGCAGCUCUGCUACGCCAGUUAUAUAAUUCUACAAAGUAAAACCAAGCACUGUCUUCCCAUUGCCCCGGGGAAAAAUAUAAAGCCCUUAAUGGAAUGAACAUGACUAUUCCCAGACUGGCGCCUGUCCACCUGUCCAAUGCAUCAUCUCUGUCAUUCUUCCCAGUCUUCCCUGUGCUCCAGUUAUACUGGACUUCUUCAGCUCCUUGAAGAAAGUGAGUUCUUUCUCACUUUCCAAAUCCUUAGGAAACUUUUUCCAUCUUUGCUCUUUCAUCUAAGUCAUUCUUCCUCAUCUUGAAAGAAUCUGCUUAAAUGCCACCUCUCUCAGGAGGUCUAACAUCCUUUAGGUGUUUCCCCUCGCUUUAUACAUCUGUGGCUUCGUAAGACUCAUGUCACAAGUGAUUUCUUAUUUAAUGACUUUCUUACCCACUCAACUAAAGAAUUCAUGGAGACAGGCACUUCAUCUAUUUUAUUCAUCAUUGCAUUCUUGGUUAUCUAACACAGUAUUUUUAUUUUUAGGUAAAAUUUACCUAGAGUAAAAUGUAUAGAUCCUAAGUGUUUUCUCCUAUGUAACCAAUACCCUAAUCAAAUAUAAAACAUCUCCAUCCCCCUGAGGAGUUGCCUUAUUUCUUCUAAUCAAUCCCUACCCCUCAGAGUAACUUCUAUUUUAUUUUCUAUCAUUAUAGAGUGGCUUUGCUUGUUUUUGUACAUCAUAUAAAUGGAAUCAUGCAGUAAA
Pan troglodytes (chimpanzee) is the source of this 1269-nucleotide long non-coding RNA. RefSeq lists it as uncharacterized. Lineage: Eukaryota; Metazoa; Chordata; Mammalia; Primates; Hominidae. The transcript is spliced from 2 exons. The record is from RefSeq and is a predicted model, not a curated record.